Leptopilina boulardi is the source of this 87-nucleotide small nucleolar RNA. RefSeq annotates it as small nucleolar RNA snR60/Z15/Z230/Z193/J17. Lineage: Eukaryota; Metazoa; Arthropoda; Insecta; Hymenoptera; Figitidae. The record is from RefSeq and is a predicted model, not a curated record. The transcript has a single exon.
UUUUAACAAAUGAUGAUUUCAUAGUUCAACUGAAUUAGAUUUGAAGACAAUUAGAUUUAUGUCUUUCGCUCCUAUCUGACAUUUCAU